This 354-nucleotide unclassified non-coding RNA is filed under the name soil metagenome. Its description in RNAcentral is "partial contains 5.8S ribosomal RNA, internal transcribed spacer 2, and large subunit ribosomal RNA". The stretch from base 1 to 120 matches the Rfam family "5.8S ribosomal RNA", at positions 35 to 154 of the family's 154-position model. The record is from RNAcentral.
GAUGAAGAACGCAGCGAAAUGCGAUAAGUAAUGUGAAUUGCAGAAUUCAGUGAAUCAUCGUAUCUUUGAACGCACAUUGCGCCCGCCAGUAUUCUGGCGGGCAUGCCUGUCCGAGCGUCAUUUCAACCCUCGAACCCCUCCGGGGGGUCGGCGUUGGGGAUCGGCCCUGCCUCUUGGCGGUGGCCGUCUCCGAAAUACAGUGGCGGUCUCGCCGCAGCCUCUCCUGCGCAGUAGUUUGCACACUCGCAUCGGGAGCGCGGCGCGUCCACAGCCGUUAAACACCCAACUUCUGAAAUGUUGACCUCGGAUCAGGUAGGAAUACCCGCUGAACUUAAGCAUAUCAUAAGCGGAGGA